Molecule: ribosomal RNA, 459 nt
Filed under: uncultured Sphingobacteriales bacterium
Lineage: Bacteria; Pseudomonadati; Bacteroidota; Sphingobacteriia; Sphingobacteriales
Description: bacterial SSU rRNA
Rfam family: Bacterial small subunit ribosomal RNA
Source: RNAcentral
CCGCACAAGCGGAGGAACAUGUGGUUAAUUCGAUGAUACGCGAGGAACCUUACCUGGGCUUAAAUGUAGAGUGCAUUUUUAGAGAUAGAAAUUCCCUUCGGGGCUUUCUGCAAGGUGCUGCAUGGUUGUCGUCAGCUCGUGCCGUGAGGUGUCGGGUUAAGUUCCCAUAACGAGCGCAACCCUUAUCGUUAGUUGCCAUCUGGUAAUGCAGGGACUCUAGCGAAACUGCCACCGUAAGGUGAGAGGAAGGUGGGAUGACGUCAAAUCAGCACGGCCCUUAUGUCCAGGGCUACACACGUGUUACAAUGGUCGGUACAGAGGGCAGCUACCUGGUGACAGGAUGCUAAUCUCGAAAACCGGUCUCAGUUCGGAUCGAAGUCUGCAACUCGACUUCGUGAAGCUGGAUUCGCUAGUAAUCGCGCAUCAGCUAUGGCGCGGUGAACUACGUUCCCAGGCCUU